RNAcentral lists this unclassified non-coding RNA (1810 nucleotides) under Pomacea canaliculata. RNAcentral describes it as "zinc finger protein 26-like, transcript variant X4". Lineage: Eukaryota; Metazoa; Mollusca; Gastropoda; Architaenioglossa; Ampullariidae. The record is from RNAcentral.
UGCAUUGUCUGCUUGCUCUUUUUGAAGUUACAGAAUUAAAAAAAAACAGAAAACAAAAACCACACACACAAACUACUGCAUAACUACUUAAAGGGAAGCAAGUCCUACGUGAGAUGUUCGCAUUCUGAGUUGUCUCCCAUGGUAGCAAUGCGUGCAAAGUUACUUUAAAAGAUGUAUUAGAAACUGGCUGUUUAACAAAGAAGCGAGCGUUUACCACAACUUCACUGGCUUUCUACACUACACCUGUUCACAGAAGCAAUAAGCACAUUUUAUUCGACUACAGCAAACGAUUUAAUGGUAUUUUGUGUGUGUUGAGUUAAAAGACUUGGAAACCACAGCGCUGUCUGCUCGACUUCUUGGAACUUAAUAACAACUGGACAUCAGUGAGUACAACAACUGUACAGCGCUUUGUAUUAUUAGCAGCUUGACAACUAAUCAUCUCGCCGGCAUGUCCGACUGUAAAGAUAUGGGUUUAAGUGAUUGGGGUUAUGUCGGCAUUGCCAUUAGAGCGGACUCGAUGGCGGAAGUCGUGAAAGAUAGCUUGGCAUAAUUUUUCUACAUAUUUUAUGUGAAUAUGUCUUUCUUUAACCACUGGGCCAUGAGUCAGACCGAGACAAUCAUUUCUGGUAAUAUGACCUUAAAGGAUAAAACUUGUAGUACCCCGCAAAAUAGAAAAAAUUCACAGAGUUAAAAGAAGGAAAAAUUCCACUGACCCAGUUCUAUGCCCGUUUCAUAGGUUCGGGCCAGGGUACACCAGACCCUUCUGUAUCCUUUUCUCAUCAAGAUAUUAUAUAUAAAUAUACUGUAUUGUGGGAGUGUGAAAUUAUUUCAACGCAUAUAAACUACAAAAUGCUCGACCCCCCUGUGCACAAUGGACCCUACCCAAGCCUCUCUCCCUCUUCUAUUCAAUGCACCCAACCGACCUAUGACCUACUACCGUUACUUCUACGUUCUGACCAACGACUGACAGUAUGAUUUGAAAGCAAAGGUCUCUAACACUUCCUAGCCUCUUGCUUCACUGUAUCGUAGGGACGACUGUAAACCAGCGUGUGUCUCAGCUGUGAAACUCUCCUCCGAACAUUCAGCGGACUGUCCGUGUAACCUGGAGAAUAACACAUGGUGUGUUCGCAGAAGUGGUCGAGACUGUCAUGGCCGCCCCUGCCUGAGGAGAAGCCGCCUCGAUUAUCCGGUUUUUGAUAGAGCCAGAGGGUCUGAGUCUCAGAAAAGGAGCUGAGGACGUGUGCAGUUUCACUCAAAUAGUACUUUAACAAUUCAAAAAAAAAAAAUGAAUGUAAUGUUAGAACAGGAAGCUAUGUCUGCCAUAAACAAUCAAGUCCACGUCUCAUGUAUGCACAGCAUAAAGACUGAACCGAUGUCUGUAGCUGAUCUACAAGACCUAAAUGAUAAAGUAAUGCUUAAGACAGAAACCACAUUUUGUUCUGAUACAAAUAUGACAUAUAGCUCAUCAGCGAGCUCAUCAAUGAACUGUGUACAGCUUAAAAACCUUUUUGGUCCAACUUACAUAAAACCUGAGUUUGCUAAGAAUAUUCCUCAAUCAAACUGGAAACAUGAGGAUGAUGUAAAACUGGAGCUUAACUCUCAGGAUACCAUUGGUUGUAUUAAAACUGAGCAAGUUCCUGGUGAAGAACUUUGUCCCUUAAAAGCCGAGUAUACUGCACACAUUGAGCAGUCAGACUGCAGUCAUGAGAAUGCUGUGAAGAUGGAGUGCCACUGUCAAGAUGUCACCUGUUCAAUUAAGACUGAGCAGGAUUUUGUGCAGUGUGCAAAGACAGAAGAGCAGCUUGUAUCU